AGGCCGUGCGGCGUGCUUAACACAUGCAAGUCGAACGAUGAACUGGAGCUUGCUCCAGGGAUUAGUGGCGAACGGGUGAGUAACACGUGAGUAACCUGCCCUUGACUCUGGGAUAAGCGCUGGAAACGGCGUCUAAUACCGGAUACGAGCUUCAGCCGCAUGGCUAGGAGUUGGAAAGAAUUUCGGUCAAGGAUGGACUCGCGGCCUAUCAGCUAGUUGGUGAGGUAAUGGCUCACCAAGGCGACGACGGGUAGCCGGCCUGAGAGGGUGACCGGCCACACUGGGACUGAGACACGGCCCAGACUCCUACGGGAGGCAGCAGUGGGGAAUAUUGCACAAUGGGCGCAAGCCUGAUGCAGCAACGCCGCGUGAGGGAUGACGGCCUUCGGGUUGUAAACCUCUUUUAGUAGGGAAGAAGCGAAAGUGACGGUACCUGCAGAAAAAGCACCGGCUAACUACGUGCCAGCAGCCGCGGUAAUACGUAGGGUGCAAGCGUUGUCCGGAAUUAUUGGGCGUAAAGAGCUCGUAGGCGGUUUGUCGCGUCUGCUGUGAAAUCUGGGGGCUCAACCCCCAGCCUGCAGUGGGUACGGGCAGACUAGAGUGCGGUAGGGGAGAUUGGAAUUCCUGGUGUAGCGGUGGAAUGCGCAGAUAUCAGGAGGAACACCGAUGGCGAAGGCAGAUCUCUGGGCCGUAACUGACGCUGAGGAGCGAAAGCAUGGGGAGCGAACAGGAUUAGAUACCCUGGUAGUCCAUGCCGUAAACGUUGGGAACUAGAUGUGGGGGCCAUUCCACGGUCUCCGUGUCGCAGCUAACGCAUUAAGUUCCCCGCCUGGGGAGUACGGCCGCAAGGCUAAAACUCAAAGGAAUUGACGGGGGCCCGCACAAGCGGCGGAGCAUGCGGAUUAAUUCGAUGCAACGCGAAGAACCUUACCAAGGCUUGACAUAUACCGGAAACGUCCAGAGAUGGUCGCCCCGCAAGGUCGGUAUACAGGUGGUGCAUGGUUGUCGUCAGCUCGUGUCGUGAGAUGUUGGGUUAAGUCCCGCAACGAGCGCAACCCUCGUUCUAUUUUGCCAGCACGUAAUUGUU
This 1087-nucleotide ribosomal RNA is filed under the name Frigoribacterium sp. EP_L_80. RNAcentral's name for it is "bacterial SSU rRNA". It matches the Rfam family "Bacterial small subunit ribosomal RNA", at positions 33 to 1133 of the family's 1533-position model. The record is from RNAcentral. Lineage: Bacteria; Bacillati; Actinomycetota; Actinomycetes; Micrococcales; Microbacteriaceae.